GGAGUAAGUUACUGUACAGAAAAAAGUUAUGUAGUCCUUAACUACUAAAAUCAAGUCACUAACUCCUGAAUUCUGUGGUGCAUUUAAUCUAGUGCUGCAUUCUGCGCUGAAAUUGUGGACUAUUUACUGUGGAAUCCAGAUAACCAUGCAUGAAUGCUGAAAUUAUUGACUAUUUACUAUGGAAUCUAGAUAACCAUGCAUGAAUGCUGAAAUUGUGGACUAUUUACUAUGGAAUCCAGAUAACCGUGCAUGAAUGCUAAAAUUUAGUCCUUAAUACGUUGCUAUGCUGAAACCAUGGACUAUUUACCGCGUCCAGAUAACCAUGCAUGAAGUCAAUGGUUCCAAUUUUGCUUGACUAUAAUGCAGUCCAGAUAACCAUGGAUACAUAAUAUAAUCCUCCCAUACCCAUCUUCUUUUCCCUACCUUUCAUCUUCCUACUCUGACUAGAAACCCUAUCUUCCAUCUCACAUCUUCCUAAGCCAAAGCCAUGGCGGAUUCAUCUUCAUACUCAGAUGAUUCCGAUGAACUUCCAAAAUCAUUGAAGAGCAUGUUGCUGAGCAGAGCGUCCUUGACUCCUUUGAUAGGAUGCUCGCAAUGAAGAUCAAGACUGCCUUAUCGG
This 619-nucleotide long non-coding RNA is filed under the name Setaria viridis. RNAcentral describes it as "long non-coding RNA (SVIR_LNC000896)". The record is from RNAcentral. Lineage: Eukaryota; Viridiplantae; Streptophyta; Magnoliopsida; Poales; Poaceae.